GCGUGGGAGCAGGGGGGAAAAUCUUUCCAAUGCUACCCCCUCCCUUCCCCCCGUGGCAGAAUAGGGAGGGAGGGCGGACCUCGGGCCCAGUUUGGCUUUGCCUUCAUGGACAGCAGCAACCAUCACCUGUCUGCCACGGCAAUAGAUGCCUCUGCUUGCUCCAGAUGUCCUUCUCCUGCAGACCAGAGAACACCUCUUGCUCUUAUUUAAAAAUCUAAAGAAAAGAGUUCUGCCCCAUCAGCUUUGGAAAUAGUUGUUUAACAUGGGAGAGAACAAGCUGAGCCUGCGUAACCCAAGACAACCAAUUCCUUUAGCAGAAAGUGUCUUCUGUCAUCAAAAAGAGCCAUCUGGAAGAGCGUUGGCUCCGUGCCAGGAACAACCCUUUAGCAACCGCUCAACA
Molecule: long non-coding RNA, 400 nt
Filed under: Manacus vitellinus (golden-collared manakin)
Lineage: Eukaryota; Metazoa; Chordata; Aves; Passeriformes; Pipridae
Description: lncRNA (ENSMVIG00005018021.1)
Source: RNAcentral